Molecule: ribosomal RNA, 463 nt
Filed under: uncultured bacterium
Lineage: Bacteria
Description: bacterial SSU rRNA
Rfam family: Bacterial small subunit ribosomal RNA
Source: RNAcentral
GAUGAACGCUGGCGGCGUGCUUAACACACGCAAGUCGAACGGGCGGAGGGAGCUUGCUCCCGAAGCUAGUGGCGGACGGGCGAGUAACGCGUGAGUAACCUGCCCAUAAGUGAGGGAUAGCCCAUGGAAACGUGGAGUAAUACCUCAUAUUGUAUACUGAUCACAUGAUCUAUAUAUGAAAGAUUUAUCGCUUAUGGAUGGACUCGCGUCUGAUUAGCUAGUUGGUGAGGUAACGGGCCCACCAAGGCGACGAUCAGUAGCCGGCCUGAGAGGGUGAACGGCCACAUUGGGACUGAGACACGGCCCAAACUCCUACGGGAGGCAGCAGUGGGGAAUAUUGCACAAUGGGGGAAACCCUGAUGCAGCGACGCCGCGUGAGUGAAGAAGUAUUUCGGUAUGUAAAGCUCUAUCAGCAGGGAAGAUAAUGACGGUACCUGACUAAGAAGCCCCGGCUAACUACGUG